ACAGAGUUUGUCGUUGCGUUUAAU
RNAcentral lists this microRNA (24 nucleotides) under Caenorhabditis briggsae. RNAcentral describes it as "Cbr-Mir-124-P11_5p* (star (passenger))". Lineage: Eukaryota; Metazoa; Nematoda; Chromadorea; Rhabditida; Rhabditidae. The record is from RNAcentral.